Molecule: long non-coding RNA, 575 nt
Filed under: Cucumis sativus (cucumber)
Lineage: Eukaryota; Viridiplantae; Streptophyta; Magnoliopsida; Cucurbitales; Cucurbitaceae
Description: long non-coding RNA (CSAT_LNC001201)
Source: RNAcentral
AUGGCCUAGAAAGGAACGACCGGACUUAGAACGGGGUCGGAGGCCUCGAAAGUUCACAUCUAACCACUGGGUGGUCCGAUUCUGAGUGAUCUCGAAGUUUCUUGCCCACAGAAGCCGAACGGCGAUGCCCCAGACUCGGUUUCCUGGUUCCGUCCCAAAACGCCGAAGAAAGGCACAAUGGCCUAGAAAGGAACGACCGGACUUAGAACGGGGUCGGAGGCCUCGAAAGUUCACAUCUAACCACUGGGUGGUCCGAUUCUGAGUGAUCUCGAAGUUUCUUGCCCACAGAAGCCGAACGGCGAUGCCCCGGGCUGAUGUUAGAUGUAUCCUACAUGACCGAAAAUGAUAAAAUCUUCAGCUUUGUUGAAGGGUUAAAGCCGUGGGUAAGGGCUAAAUUAUACGAAUAGAAAGUUCAGGACCUCGCGUCAACCUAUGCAAUAGCGGAGCGUUUGUUCGAUCUGUCUGAUGACACUCAAGAGACGAGACGUCGUCAAAGCUCUUCAAUCGACCGAUUUUUCGUUGGCUAAAGCCUUGGCCAUUUUUGGACCGUUUUUGGCGCUACCGUUGUGCACCAC